GGAAAAGGAUGUGGGAUUUCGAAGACAACUAGGAUGUUGGCUCAGAAGCAGCCAUUCAUUCAAAGAGUGCGUAAUAGCUCACUAGUCGAGAGGUCCUGCGCCGAAAAUGUCCGGGGCUGAAACACGACACCGAAGCCGUGGAAUCACGUAGUGAUUGGUAGAGGAGCAUUCUUAAACGGUGGAAGCUGUACCGGAAGGAGCAGUGGACGGUUAAGAAGAGAGAAUGCCGGAAUGAGUAGCGAGAAAGAAGUGAGAAUCUUCUUGGCCGAAUAUCUAAGGUUUCCAGAGUAAAGCUGAUCUGCUCUGGGUAAGUCGGGGCCUAAGGCGAGGUCGAAAGACGUAGUCGAUGGAUAACAGGUUGAGAUUCCUGUACCGCAUGAAAUCAGAACUGUGGGGACACAGACAGGAAGAGGGAGCCGGGAAUGGAAAGUCCGGUCCAAGCGAGGUAGGAGUACCGAUGGCAAAUCCGCGGUGCGAUCCGAAGACGUGACGGGGAGCGAACAUAAGUAGCGAAGCCCUUGCCCCUGGCUGUCAAGAAAAGCCGCUAUCGUAUUUCAUGUGCCCGUACCGUAAACCGACACAGGUGGAUGAGGAGAGAAUCCUAAGGCCGACGGGAGAAGUGUUGUUAAGGAACUCGGCAAAAUGGCCCCGUAACUUCGGGAGAAGGGGUGCCUGCGAGAGCAGGCCGCAGAGAAUUGGCCCAAGCAACUGUUUAGCAAAAACACAGGUCUAUGCAAAACCGCAAGGUGAAGUAUAUGGGCUGACGCCUGCCCGGUGCUGGAAGGUUAAGGGGAGGGCUUAGAGCAAUCGAAGGUCUGAACUUAAGCCCCAGUAAACGGCGGCCGUAACUAUAACGGUCCUAAGGUAGCGAAAUUCCUUGUCGGGUAAGUUCCGACCCGCACGAAAGGCGUAAUGAUUUGGGCACUGUCUCAACAACACACCCGGUGAAAUUGAAAUACCAGUGAAGAUGCUGGUUACCCGCGCCAGGACGGAAAGACCCCAUGGAGCUUUACUCUAGCUUGAUACUGGGAUUCGGUACUGCAUGUACAGGAUAGGUGGGAGACGUGGAGCCAUGGACGCCAGUCCAUGAGGAGUCGCUGUUGGGAUACCACCCUUGCAGUAUUGGAUUUCUAACCAGCAGCCGUGAUCCGGCUGGGGGACAAUGUCAGGUGGGGAGUUUGACUGGGGCGGUCGCCUCCGAAAGGGUAUCGGAGGCGCUCAAAGGUUCCCUCAGAAUGGUCGGAAACCAUUCGCAGAGUGCAAAGGCAGAAGGGAGCUUGACUGUGACACCGACGGGUGGAGCAGGUACGAAAGUAGGACUUAGUGAUCCGGUGGUAUAAAGUGGGAUUGCCAUCGCUCAACGGAUAAAAGCUACCCUGGGGAUAACAGGCUUAUCACUCCCAAGAGUUCACAUCGACGGAGUGGUUUGGCACCUCGAUGUCGGCUCAUCGCAUCCUGGAGCUGUAGCAGGUUCCAAGGGUUGGGCUGUUCGCCCAUUAAAGCGGUACGCGAGCUGGGUUCAGAACGUCGUGAGACAGUUCGGUCCCUAUCCGGCGUGGGCGCAGGAGAUCUGAGAGGAGCUGUCCUUAGUACGAGAGGACCGGGAUGGACGGACCGCUGGUGUAUCUGUUGUCGUGCCAACGGCAUAGCAGAGUAGCCAAGUCUGGAAGGGAUAAACGCUGAAGGCAUCUAAGCGUGAAGCCCCCCUCAAGAUGAGAUCUCCCAUUCUUCGGAAGUAAGACCCCUUGAAGACGACGAGGUAGAUAGGGCAGGGGUGGAAGUGCAGCAAUGCAUGGAGCUGACUGUCACUAAUCGGUCGAGGUCUUAACCAG
Ribosomal RNA from Anaerostipes sp. 992a, 1832 nucleotides. It matches the Rfam family "Bacterial large subunit ribosomal RNA", at positions 1065 to 2925 of the family's 2925-position model. The record is from Rfam. NCBI's taxonomy places the organism in Bacteria, Bacillati, Bacillota, Clostridia, Lachnospirales, Lachnospiraceae.